RNAcentral lists this non-coding RNA (60 nucleotides) under unclassified sequences. The record is from RNAcentral.
GGGUCCAGAACAUCUCAAUCGUUCUGGAGAUGAACUGAAUCGAUAGUCGGGCCGCUAUCU